GGGCUCGUGGCGCAGAUAGGUAGCGCAGCAGGCUUUUAACCUGAUGGCCGCGGGUUCAAAAAACCCCUUGACUCACA
This 77-nucleotide transfer RNA is filed under the name Candidatus Thorarchaeota archaeon. Its description in RNAcentral is "tRNA-Lys". The stretch from base 1 to 58 matches the Rfam family "tRNA". Rfam says of the family: Transfer RNA (tRNA) molecules are approximately 80 nucleotides in length. Lineage: Archaea; Promethearchaeati; Candidatus Thorarchaeota. The record is from RNAcentral.